Molecule: long non-coding RNA, 1869 nt
Organism: Frieseomelitta varia
Lineage: Eukaryota; Metazoa; Arthropoda; Insecta; Hymenoptera; Apidae
Exons: 2
Source: RefSeq, a predicted model, not a curated record
UGACGUUGGCGAUGAGGCGUGCUAGUGACGUUUUAUAAGAAAAGGCGACGGCAAAUGCGAACGUCGGAGUGGAGGAUCAGUCAAAACGUGUUUAGUUUGGUGUACCAGAAUCGUGCAACGAAGAUAUUCAAAGAAAGAAUCGGAGAGAGCCGAACGGGAAACCGAACGAAAGCAAUUACGAUUAAGUUGAACCUCCCGCACUUCUUUCCACUUGUUCGAGAGACGACGGGGGAGAACAGCACUCACUCACGAGGCGGCUAGAUCGUCCUCACUCCGAUGAUCCAGCAUCAUCGCAGCGCGCCUCCUCGCGGUUCCACGCCACAAAUGCGAACAGGCCGGUUACUUGCAUCGCAUUGAGCGCGACAUUUGUGUUUAACAAAAAUUUGUGCUUGACAAAGAGAGAACGUGUGACUCUCGCGGAGAACUCUCGCAACUGGACGACGCGAGAAAAAACGAAGAGCAACGAGGAGCAACGAGGCGAGGCGAGGCGGGACGAGACGAGACCAGACGAGACGAUACGAGACGAGGCGCGGCGAGGCGAGACGAGACGAGGUACAAAAAAAAAAGGAAAGGCAAAACGGCGCAAUGUCGUGACACGACGCAAGAAUAAUACUCAGCCAACACGCGUGCCGGCUCGGCGUCGACUGAAUUCAACGGCAGUCGCGCGCCACGAGAGGGAGGCGUGUCUCCGGCGUACGAUGGAAAGAGACCAAGUUAUGCUACCACGGCGAAGAAGGGAUGAAGAAGGCACGAGGAAGAGAGAAGAAUGGUUUUCACCGCGUUAGACAGGGACGUGCAAAAGGAUGAGCGACCGACCGGCCGUCGGAGACCAUAGUCACACUGGUUGCAACUGUUAGAGGGAGUUGAGCGGCGUGCUGAGGAACGGAACGGAGCGGAGCGGAGUGGUGUGGAGUGGAGUGGAGUGGAGCAGAGCGGAGCAGAGCAGAACGGAGCGCAGCGAAAUAUAGUGGAGAGGAAAGGAGAGAAAUGGUUUCAGGAGAAACGAACGCGACGGGAUUGAACGGAACGGAAUGGAAUGGAAUGAGAUGCCUCAAUUCGCGGAGACGGACGAAUGACACAAAGGGCAAAAGAGAGUUACACAAACGCUGAUUAUCCAAAACUACCGUUUGCAACGCUACCGUGCAGCGAUAGCGCAGUCUGAGGAACUCUGCCUCCUUUCAUUGAGAGCGUAUGGAAACGUGAAAUGGGGAAGAGAAUUGUGGAAGAGGUGAAGGAAGAAGAAGAGAAGAAAGAAUCAGUGUUCAUCGACGGGAAUUCAAAACGUGCAAAAGAGCGAACGCGUGAGCACGUUUGCUGAGAGCGGUUCGAGGGACACGAGCGAUACACAUGCACGCCUGUCAUCAGUAAUCUCAAUAGGUGUCGGGCCAGGGAAAUAAAUUAACGAGGUGUUUGUCCGCUAUCACCACUCUUUUUCCAAGCCGGAUUAAAAUCACUCUGUCUUUAAUAAUUACGCCGGCCGAAUACGUUAAAUGAGGCGCGCGUCGCGACGCAUUUACCACUGUUGCUUUUUGAUAAUGUUAUUUACAGCUUUGAUUUACAAUAGAUCACCACCGAACCACGCAAUCCAUGCGAAUUACUCCCUCCAUUGUAUAUAACAUUUCAGAACAAAAGAGAUAUAAAAUGCGGCGUGUGAUGGUAAAUUUUAUUCGUCACGUUGAAAGUGAAGAAGCGCUUGCUGAAAACGUAUAAAGCAAGAGGAGUAAAACGCACUGGAUACUGCUCUUCGGACCAUUAUCGUCUAUAGACUGUAUCACUGUGAAUUAUGUGUUAAUUAUAAGACUAUUAUGCGAUUAUGUUAAAAGUAUUACUUAAUAUUCAAAGGUGAAGGAAUACACACUUUAAAAAUUC